UGAGGAAUAUUGGUCAAUGGACGAAAGUCUGAACCAGCCAUGCCGCGUGCAGGAUGACGGCCCUACGGGUUGUAAACUGCUUUUAUAAGGGAAUAAACCCCCCGACGUGUCGGGGGCUGAAGGUACCUUACGAAUAAGGAUCGGCUAACUCCGUGCCAGCAGCCGCGGUAAUACGGAGGAUCCAAGCGUUAUCCGGAUUCAUUGGGUUUAAAGGGUCCGCAGGCGGGUUAUUAAGUCAGUGGUGAAAUCCUGCAGCUUAACUGUAGAACUGCCAUUGAUACUGGUAACCUUGAGUGUGGUUGAAGUGGGCGGAAUGUGUCAUGUAGCGGUGAAAUGCAUAGAUAUGACAC
Molecule: ribosomal RNA, 350 nt
Filed under: uncultured bacterium
Lineage: Bacteria
Description: bacterial SSU rRNA
Rfam family: Bacterial small subunit ribosomal RNA
Source: RNAcentral